GAUGAACGCUGGCGGCGUGCCUAGUACAUGCAAGUCGAGCGAACGGACGAGAAGCUUGCUUCUCUGAUGUUAGCGGCGGACGGGUGAGUAACACGUGGAUAACCUACCUAUAAGACUGGGAUAACUUCGGGAAACCGGAGCUAAUACCGGAUAAUAUUUUGAACCGCAUGGUUCAAAAGUGAAAGACGGUCUUGCUGUCACUUAUAGAUGGAUCCGCGCUGCAUUAGCUAGUUGGUAAGGUAACGGCUUACCAAGGCAACGAUGCAUAGCCGACCUGAGAGGGUGAUCGGCCACACUGGAACUGAGACACGGUCCAGACUCCUACGGGAGGCAGCAGUAGGGAAUCUUCCGCAAUGGGCGAAAGCCUGACGGAGCAACGCCGCGUGAGUGAUGAAGGUCUUCGGAUCGUAAAACUCUGUUAUUAGGGAAGAACAUAUGUGUAAGUAACUGUGCACAUCUUGACGGUACCUAAUCAGAAAGCCACGGCUAACUACGUGCCAGCAGCCGCGGUAAUACGUAGGUGGCAAGCGUUAUCCGGAAUUAUUGGGCGUAAAGCGCGCGUAGGCGGUUUUUUAAGUCUGAUGUGAAAGCCCACGGCUCAACCGUGGAGGGUCAUUGGAAACUGGAAAACUUGAGUGCAGAAGAGGAAAGUGGAAUUCCAUGUGUAGCGGUGAAAUGCGCAGAGAUAUGGAGGAACACCAGUGGCGAAGGCGACUUUCUGGUCUGUAACUGACGCUGAUGUGCGAAAGCGUGGGGAUCAAACAGGAUUAGAUACCCUGGUAGUCCACGCCGUAAACGAUGAGUGCUAAGUGUUAGGGGGUUUCCGCCCCUUAGUGCUGCAGCUAACGCAUUAAGCACUCCGCCUGGGGAGUACGACCGCAAGGUUGAAACUCAAAGGAAUUGACGGGGACCCGCACAAGCGGUGGAGCAUGUGGUUUAAUUCGAAGCAACGCGAAGAACCUUACCAAAUCUUGACAUCCUUUGACAACUCUAGAGAUAGAGCCUUCCCCUUCGGGGGACAAAGUGACAGGUGGUGCAUGGUUGUCGUCAGCUCGUGUCGUGAGAUGUUGGGUUAAGUCCCGCAACGAGCGCAACCCUUAAGCUUAGUUGCCAUCAUUAAGUUGGGCACUCUAAGUUGACUGCCGGUGACAAACCGGAGGAAGGUGGGGAUGACGUCAAAUCAUCAUGCCCCUUAUGAUUUGGGCUACACACGUGCUACAAUGGACAAUACAAAGGGCAGCGAAACCGCGAGGUCAAGCAAAUCCCAUAAAGUUGUUCUCAGUUCGGAUUGUAGUCUGCAACUCGACUACAUGAAGCUGGAAUCGCUAGUAAUCGUAGAUCAGCAUGCUACGGUGAAUACGUUCCCGGGUCU
Molecule: ribosomal RNA, 1372 nt
Filed under: uncultured bacterium
Lineage: Bacteria
Description: bacterial SSU rRNA
Rfam family: Bacterial small subunit ribosomal RNA
Source: RNAcentral